Molecule: small RNA, 89 nt
Filed under: Soonwooa buanensis
Lineage: Bacteria; Pseudomonadati; Bacteroidota; Flavobacteriia; Flavobacteriales; Weeksellaceae
Description: Flavo-1 RNA
Rfam family: Flavo-1 RNA
Source: RNAcentral
UAGGGAUAGUAGCGAAUAUCCUUUUGCGAGGUGGCUGAGCGCAGCGAAGUCCACCUCGCAAAAGAUAGCAGCGGAUAGCCCGACCCGAA